This 657-nucleotide ribosomal RNA is filed under the name bacterium LB-129. RNAcentral describes it as "bacterial SSU rRNA". It matches the Rfam family "Bacterial small subunit ribosomal RNA", at positions 782 to 1439 of the family's 1533-position model. The record is from RNAcentral.
GUACCCUGGUAGUCCACGCUGUAAACGAUGUCGACUUGGAGGUUGUUCCCUUGAGGAGUGGCUUCCGGAGCUAACGCGUUAAGUCGACCGCCUGGGGAGUACGGCCGCAAGGUUAAAACUCAAAUGAAUUGACGGGGGCCCGCACAAGCGGUGGAGCAUGUGGUUUAAUUCGAUGCAACGCGAAGAACCUUACCUACUCUUGACAUCCAGAGAACUUAGCAGAGAUGCUUUGGUGCCUUCGGGAACUCUGAGACAGGUGCUGCAUGGCUGUCGUCAGCUCGUGUUGUGAAAUGUUGGGUUAAGUCCCGCAACGAGCGCAACCCUUAUCCUUUGUUGCCAGCGGUCCGGCCGGGAACUCAAAGGAGACUGCCAGUGAUAAACUGGAGGAAGGUGGGGAUGACGUCAAGUCAUCAUGGCCCUUACGAGUAGGGCUACACACGUGCUACAAUGGCAUAUACAAAGAGAAGCGACCUCGCGAGAGCAAGCGGACCUCAUAAAGUAUGUCGUAGUCCGGAUUGGAGUCUGCAACUCGACUCCAUGAAGUCGGAAUCGCUAGUAAUCGUAGAUCAGAAUGCUACGGUGAAUACGUUCCCGGGCCUUGUACACACCGCCCGUCACACCAUGGGAGUGGGUUGCAAAAGAAGUAGGUAGCUUAAC